Molecule: ribosomal RNA, 826 nt
Filed under: Stachybotrys chartarum
Lineage: Eukaryota; Fungi; Ascomycota; Sordariomycetes; Hypocreales; Stachybotryaceae
Description: eukaryotic LSU rRNA
Rfam family: Eukaryotic large subunit ribosomal RNA
Source: RNAcentral
AUUGCCUUAGUAACGGCGAGUGAAGCGGCAACAGCUCAAAUUUGAAAUCUGGCCCCAGGCCCGAGUUGUAAUUUGCAGAGGAUGCUUUUGGCGCGGUGCCUUCCGAGUUCCCUGGAACGCGACGCCAUAGAGGGUGAGAGCCCCGUCUGGUUGGAUACCAAGCCUUUGUAAAGCUCCUUCGACGAGUCGAGUAGUUUGGGAAUGCUGCUCUAAAUGGGAGGUAUAUGUCUUCUAAAGCUAAAUACCGGCCAGAGACCGAUAGCGCACAAGUAGAGUGAUCGAAAGAUGAAAAGCACUUUGGAAAGAGAGUUAAACAGCACGUGAAAUUGUUAAAAGGGAAGCGUUUAUGACCAGACUUGGGCCGGUUAAUCAUCCAGCGUUCUCGCUGGUGCACUUUGCCGGUCCAGGCCAGCAUCAGUUCGCUGCGGGGGAUAAAGGCGUCGGGAAUGUGGCUCCUCUGGAGUGUUAUAGCCCUUCGCGCAAUACCCUGCGGUGGACUGAGGUUCGCGCAUCUGCAAGGAUGCUGGCGUAAUGGUCAUCAACGACCCGUCUUGAAACACGGACCAAGGAGUCGUCUUCGUAUGCGAGUGUUCGGGUGUAAAACCCCUACGCGUAAUGAAAGUGAACGCAGGUGAGAGCUUCGGCGCAUCAUCGACCGAUCCUGAUGUUCUCGGAUGGAUUUGAGUAAGAGCAUACGGGGCCGGACCCGAAAGAAGGUGAACUAUGCCUGUAUAGGGUGAAGCCAGAGGAAACUCUGGUGGAGGCUCGCAGCGGUUCUGACGUGCAAAUCGAUCGUCAAAUAUGGGCAUGGGGGCGAAAGACUAAU